Molecule: transfer RNA, 72 nt
Filed under: Collariella sp. IMI 366227
Lineage: Eukaryota; Fungi; Ascomycota; Sordariomycetes; Sordariales; Chaetomiaceae
Description: tRNA-Glu
Rfam family: tRNA
About the family: Transfer RNA (tRNA) molecules are approximately 80 nucleotides in length. Their secondary structure includes four short double-helical elements and three loops (D, anti-codon, and T loops).
Source: RNAcentral
UCCGGUAUGGUGUAGUGGUUAACAUUUCGCGUUUUCACCGCGAGGCCCGGGGUUCAAUUCCCCGUACCGGAG